This is a long non-coding RNA of Coffea eugenioides, 916 nucleotides long. RefSeq lists it as uncharacterized. Lineage: Eukaryota; Viridiplantae; Streptophyta; Magnoliopsida; Gentianales; Rubiaceae. The record is from RefSeq and is a predicted model, not a curated record. The transcript is spliced from 3 exons.
UUAUUCUCAACCACAUUUAUUCAUUUUCCAAAACCUAGCAGCAACGGAGGCAGGCAGGCAGCAGCCGCAGUCAUCAAAGAUGCAGAUAUUCAUGAAAACCCUGAUACGGAAAACCAUCACCCUUGAGGUGGAGUCUUCUGGCACCAUCGAUAAUGUAAAGGCCAAAAUCCAGGACAAGGAGGGCAAUCCCCCAGACCAGCAGUGCCUCAUCUUCACCGACAGCAGUGCCUCAUCUUGUUUCCUUAAUUUUUCCCCAAUUAAUUUGCCUAAAUUUUUUCCCCAAGUAUUGUUUUGCAAAAUUUUUUGGUGGCUAGUUUGAGCCAUGGAUUUAAUCAUCUCUUUCUGUAAAAUUUUGCAAAAUUUGCCCUAAUUUUUUUUUGCAAUUUUUUUUUGUGAAGGAAUUCAAGGUGGGAGAUGAAGUAUUCAGAGACAUUCAUGAGCACGCUUUGUACCCAAAAGGAUGUGUGUCACUGGCGGAGUACAAUACAGUCGAGGAGAAGGUACUGGCUUCGAAGCCCAAGAAUUUGAGUUUUGCCGUGGCAGCUAGCCUUCCUGUUGCUGUUGAGGGAUUCUUUUCUUGUGAAUGGCGUUGCCUUUAAGAAAACAUUCUCAUAUGCUGGUUUUGAACAGCAACCAAAGAAAUUUGUAAAUCCCAAGAUACUUUUGCUGAAUAUAGAAUUGGAACUGAUAUCAGAGAAAGAGAAUGCAGAAAUAAGGCUUUCAGAUCCAUCGCAGUAUCAGUCAAUCGUUGAUGCAGAAUGGAAUAUCAUUUAUGACAAGUUAGAUAAAUGUGUGAAAAGUGGGGCUAAAAUCAUUUUAUCUCGGCUGGCUAUUGGUGACCUAGCAACACAGUAUUUUGCAGAUCGGGAUGUAUUCUGUGCUGGUCGUGUUACUGAGGAGGAUCUGCAUCGUAUAU